GGUCAUUAGUUCUUACGCUGUUUUCAAGACAUGAACAGAAAAAACGAAUGAGAAUUUCAGUUUUUAAGAGUAAUAAUAGUAAGAACUUUAGAGAUAAUAUAAAUUUACUUUGCUUAUACCUGAAAGUAUACUGACGGAAUUCUUCGUGUUUAUUCAUUAUAGAACGUCUUAUGAAGCGAAAGAGGCAGAAUCUCCUGUAAUUGAUAUUAGAACAGCGCAUUCUGCAAGGAAUACUUUAGAGGCCUUUUAAUUGAACAACGGCUUAAUACCACUCCUCAUCUGUGCAGUGAAUACCAUUUCGGCUCCAUCCGCAAAUUCUAAAUACGAGAGAUGUCUGGAUUGACAGAAAAAAGGAUACUGAAGUAAUAUCGGUCAGACAACUUACGACCAUUGUGGAUGCAUUUUUUCUUGGAUAAAGGUGUGCUAUCAAUAAUACAGCUUUCUCGGUUCCAUAUACAAGACAUCAAUAUUCGCCAAUUUCCUUAAGAUGUCUGCAUGUUUUAACCCAAGUGACCACGGCACAAGAUACCAUUUAGAGCCUUCAUCCUUGCAAUUCGGAACCUUUUCAAUGGAGUUAUGAAUGGAGGUCCAAUUUAUGCAAAUGAGUUUGUAAAAUUCAUUGUCUUCGCCUAAAUUUAUACGAGUACCAAAAUAUAAUGAAUACAUUUAGUCUGCACAGUGGAAAUGGGAUUAUGUAUGUAGACAACAUUACUUGAGGAUAUCGAUACAUCUUUGAAAUGU
This is a long non-coding RNA of Argiope bruennichi, 741 nucleotides long. RefSeq lists it as uncharacterized. The record is from RefSeq and is a predicted model, not a curated record. The transcript is spliced from 3 exons. Lineage: Eukaryota; Metazoa; Arthropoda; Arachnida; Araneae; Araneidae.